GUGAGGAAUAUUGGUCAAUGGACGGAAGUCUGAACCAGCCAUGCCGCGUGCAGGAAUAAGGUCCUAUGGAUUGUAAACUGCUUUUAUUCGGGAAUAAACCUCUUUACGUGUAGGGAGCUGAAGGUACCGAAAGAAUAAGCACCGGCUAACUCCGUGCCAGCAGCCGCGGUAAUACGGAGGGUGCAAGCGUUAUCCGGAAUCAUUGGGUUUAAAGGGUCCGCAGGCGGGAUUGUAAGUCAGUGGUGAAAUCCGGCAGCUCAACUGUAGCACUGCCAUUGAUACUGCAGUCCUUGAAUUCGAUUGGAGUGGGCGGAAUAUGUCAUGUAGCGGUGAAAUGCUUAGAUAUGACAUAGAACACCGAUAGCGAAGGCAGCUCACUAAGUCUGAAUUGACGCUCAUGGACGAAAGCGCGGGUAGCAAACAGGAUUAGAUACCCGUGUAGUCC
RNAcentral lists this ribosomal RNA (445 nucleotides) under uncultured bacterium. RNAcentral's name for it is "partial 16S ribosomal RNA". It matches the Rfam family "Bacterial small subunit ribosomal RNA", at positions 354 to 796 of the family's 1533-position model. The record is from RNAcentral.